AACGAACGCUGGCGGCAGGCCUAAUACAUGCAAGUCGAGCGAGGACUUCGGUGCUAGCGGCGGACGGGUGAGUAACGCGUGGGAAUGUGCCCUUCUCUACGGUAUCUCCCUGGGAAACUGGGAGUAAUACCGCAUACGCUCAAUCGGGGUAAGAUUUAUCGGCGAAGGAUCAGUCCGCGUUGGAUUCGGUAGCUGGUGGGGUAAUGGCCUACCAAGCCGACGAUCCAUAGCUGGUAUGAGAGGAUGAUCAGCCACACUGGGACUGGGACACGUCCCAGACUCCUGCGGAAGGCAGCAGUGGGGAAUCUUAGACAAUGGGGGCAACCCUGAUCUAGCCAUGCCGCGUGAGUGAUGAAGGCCUUAGGGUUGUAAAGCUCUUUCAGCUGGGAAGAUAAUGACGGUACCAGCAGAGGAAGCCCCGGCUAACUCCGUG
RNAcentral lists this ribosomal RNA (433 nucleotides) under uncultured bacterium. Its description in RNAcentral is "partial 16S ribosomal RNA". It matches the Rfam family "Bacterial small subunit ribosomal RNA", at positions 29 to 507 of the family's 1533-position model. The record is from RNAcentral.